RNAcentral lists this ribosomal RNA (760 nucleotides) under Aggregatibacter segnis. RNAcentral's name for it is "bacterial SSU rRNA". It matches the Rfam family "Bacterial small subunit ribosomal RNA", at positions 28 to 776 of the family's 1533-position model. The record is from RNAcentral. Lineage: Bacteria; Pseudomonadati; Pseudomonadota; Gammaproteobacteria; Pasteurellales; Pasteurellaceae.
AUUGAACGCUGGCGGCAGGCUUAACACAUGCAAGUCGAACGGUAACAGGAGAAAGCUUGCUUUCUUGCUGACGAGUGGCGGACGGGUGAGUAAUGCUUGGGAAUCUGGCUUAUGGAGGGGGAUAACGACGGGAAACUGUCGCUAAUACCGCGUAGAGUCGAGAGACGAAAGUGCGGGACCGCAAGGCCGCAUGCCAUAGGAUGAGCCCAAGUGGGAUUAGGUAGUUGGUGGGGUAAUAGCCUACCAAGCCGACGAUCUCUAGCUGGUCUGAGAGGAUGACCAGCCACACCGGGACUGAGACACGGCCCGGACUCCUACGGGAGGCAGCAGUGGGGAAUAUUGCGCAAUGGGGGCAACCCUGACGCAGCCAUGCCGCGUGAAUGAAGAAGGCCUUCGGGUUGUAAAGUUCUUUCGGUAUUGAGGAAGGUUGUUGUGUUAAUAGCACGACAAAUUGACGUUAAAUACAGAAGAAGCACCGGCUAACUCCGUGCCAGCAGCCGCGGUAAUACGGAGGGUGCGAGCGUUAAUCGGAAUAACUGGGCGUAAAGGGCACGCAGGCGGACUUUUAAGUGAGGUGUGAAAUCCCCGGGCUUAACCUGGGAAUUGCAUUUCAGACUGGGAGUCUAGAGUACUUUAGGGAGGGGUAGAAUUCCACGUGUAGCGGUGAAAUGCGUAGAGAUGUGGAGGAAAUACCGAAAGCGAAGCAGCCCCUUGGGAAUGUACUGACGUCUCAUGUGCGAAAGCGUGGGGAGCAAACAGG